This 67-nucleotide transfer RNA is filed under the name Toxicochlespira sp. MNHN IM 2013-9841. RNAcentral's name for it is "tRNA-Met". The record is from RNAcentral. Lineage: Eukaryota; Metazoa; Mollusca; Gastropoda; Neogastropoda; Conidae.
UGUAAAAUAAGCUAAUCUAUAAGCUUUUGGGUUCAUACCCCAAAUAUGAAUGUUUAUUCUUUUACAA